GUUAUAAACACUUACUAUAAAAAGCAAUUUAAUUGGAACAAUACAGAGAAGAUUAGCAUGGCCCACGCGCAAGGAUGACACUCACAUUUGUAAAGCAUUCUAUAUUUUU
Suncus etruscus (white-toothed pygmy shrew) is the source of this 109-nucleotide small nuclear RNA. The record is from RefSeq and is a predicted model, not a curated record. Lineage: Eukaryota; Metazoa; Chordata; Mammalia; Eulipotyphla; Soricidae.